Molecule: ribosomal RNA, 419 nt
Filed under: bacterium
Lineage: Bacteria
Description: partial 16S ribosomal RNA
Rfam family: Bacterial small subunit ribosomal RNA
Source: RNAcentral
UGGGGGAUAUUGCACAAUGGGCGCAAGCCUGAUGCAGCGACGCCGCGUGGGGGAUGAAGGCCUUCGGGUUGUAAACUUCUUUUGCUCUGAACAAGGCGCACUUUGGGGUGUGUUGAGUGUUGGAGUUGAUUAGCGCCGGCUAACUACGUGCCAGCAGCCGCGGUAAUACGUAGGGCGCGAGCGUUGUCCGGAAUUAUUGGGCGUAAAGGGCUUGUAGGUGGCUGGUUGCGUCUGUCGUGAAAGCUCAUGGCUUAACUGUGGGUUUGCGGUGGGUACGGGCUGGCUUGAGUGCGGUAGGGGAGGCUGGAAUUCCUGGUGUAGCGGUGGAAUGCGCAGAUAUCAGGAGGAAUACCGGUGGCGAAGGCGGGUCUCUGGGCUGUUACUGACACUGAGGAGCGAAAGCAUGGGGAGCGAACAGG